UCCCUGGUGGCUCAGGUGGUACAGCGUCUGCCUGCGAUACAGGAGACCUGGGUUCAAUCCCUGGGUUGGGAA
Molecule: non-coding RNA, 72 nt
Organism: Bos taurus (domestic cattle)
Lineage: Eukaryota; Metazoa; Chordata; Mammalia; Artiodactyla; Bovidae
Source: Rfam